UAGACUUAUAUUGGGUUUGGUUGCAAUUUCCAUUUUCUCUAUCUAUUUAACUGAGCCUCUCACUGCCUUCCUCUUUGUGCUGCCUUUCUCUACGGACUCUUAACCACAAGUAGCAAGCAAAGCAGAGCAGGGUUUGUUGACAACAGCACUGCAAUGUCUCUGAGGAAAAUCAAGGUCGAACCAAUGCAGAGUCAAAAUGAAGCUGAAAAAGAUGAAAUUUCAGGCGCAUCUCCUGAAGAUGCACAAUACUCAAUACCGAAUUGCAUUCGUAUCUUGGAAAAACUAAGGGUGGAUAGUUAUCUCAGAGGAGAAGAAUUAGGAUUUGCAGUAGAAUUAACUAGAGAUAGCCACAGUAGAGUCGUAAUCAUAUCCUCAGAAGAUUCACCGAAUUUAUUACUUGAUUGGAUUUACUACAUGUAUAGGAAAAAUGUUUAGUUGGUUAAGAAUUUAGAUUUGGUUCUGUUCUGUGUUUGUUAUGCACUUGUUAAACAUUGACAACUUGCAUUGAAGUUUAUGUUUAUCCAUUUGAAUUCUUGAUAUAAUCAUGUAUUUGCAUUCAGUGAUGUUAUUAUAAUCAUGAAGUUUUUCGGUUUGAGAAAA
This is a long non-coding RNA of Lotus japonicus, 600 nucleotides long. RefSeq lists it as uncharacterized. The transcript is spliced from 2 exons. Lineage: Eukaryota; Viridiplantae; Streptophyta; Magnoliopsida; Fabales; Fabaceae. The record is from RefSeq and is a predicted model, not a curated record.